GCCAGAGGAGAGAAGUGACAAUCCCAAGGUCACCCAGUAAGUUAUAGUUAGAGCCCCUCUACGCCAGGCUGCCUCGAAAGGAGAGGUCACUCAGACAGCAGUCACACUUACCUGUAACUGUGGGUUUAUAAUAAAAAAUGGCAAGAAUAACAUAAAUGUCCAGAUAUUCACCACUCAGCUUACAAACUACAGUUUUGCAAAUAUAGUCCAAGUCUUCUAAGUACCCCUCUCUGGUCCCAUCUCACUUCCUUAUAGAGGUAACCACUGUUUUAAAGCUGGUGUUUAUCUUUUCUAUGCAUGUCUUUCUACAUAUACCACUGUGUUGAUUUGCUAGGGAUGCCUUAGCAAAGUACCAUAAACUGUGGGGCCUAAGCAACAGAAAGUAGUUCUCUCAUAGCUCUGGAGGCUGAAGUCCAAGACCAAGGUGUGAGCAGGCUGGUUCCUUUCCCUCUGUCUCCACAUGGCCGGCCCUCUGUAUGUGUCUCUCCUAAUGGCUUCUUCUUCUAAGGAUGCCAGUCCGAUGGAAUCUGGGCCCACCUUAAUGACCUCAUUUUAAUUUAACAACCUCUUUGAAGGCCCUGUCUCCACAUACAGUCACAUUCUGAGAGUGCUGGGUUAGGGCUUCAACAUAUGAAUUUUGGGGGGCACAUUUAUUUUGGCCUGUAACAACCUCCUACAUGCUCUUUCUCCUACAGAUAAUUUUUUGGGAGAUAAUCAACAAUGCUGCAAUGAAUAUUCUCACACAAGAAGGGGGAAAUUUGGACACAGACAUACACAGAAGGACACCGUGUGAAGAUGAAGAUGGCCACCUGUGAGCCAAGGAAAGAGCCCUGGAAUGAAGCAACGCUGCCUACACCUUGCCUUCAGAUUUCUAGCCUCCGGAGCUGUAGGGAAAUAAAUUCCUGCUGUUUAAGCCCUUCA
Molecule: long non-coding RNA, 921 nt
Organism: Homo sapiens (human)
Lineage: Eukaryota; Metazoa; Chordata; Mammalia; Primates; Hominidae
Exons: 2
Source: RefSeq, a predicted model, not a curated record